AGCGAACGCUGGCGGCAUGCCUAACACAUGCAAGUCGAACGAACUCUUCGGAGUUAGUGGCGGACGGGUGAGUAACACGUGGGAACGUGCCUUUUGGUUCCGAAUAACUCAGGGAAACUUGUGCUAAUACCGAAUGUGCCCUUCGGGGGAAAGAUUUAUCGCCAUUAGAGCGGCCCGCGUCUGAUUAGCUAGUUGGUGAGGUAACGGCUCACCAAGGCGACGAUCAGUAGCUGGUCUGAGAGGAUGACCAGCCACACUGGGACUGAGACACGGCCCAGACUCCUACGAGAGGCAGCAGUGGGGAAUCUUGCGCAAUGGGCGAAAGCCUGACGCAGCCAUGCCGCGUGAAUGAUGAAGGUCUUAGGAUUGUAAAAUUCUUUCACCGGGGACGAUAAUGACGGUACCCGGAGAAGAAGCCCCGGCUAACUUCGUG
Molecule: ribosomal RNA, 433 nt
Filed under: uncultured bacterium
Lineage: Bacteria
Description: partial 16S ribosomal RNA
Rfam family: Bacterial small subunit ribosomal RNA
Source: RNAcentral